RNAcentral lists this ribosomal RNA (468 nucleotides) under uncultured bacterium. RNAcentral's name for it is "partial 16S ribosomal RNA". It matches the Rfam family "Bacterial small subunit ribosomal RNA", at positions 28 to 507 of the family's 1533-position model. The record is from RNAcentral.
GACGAACGCUGGCGGCGUGCUUAACACAUGCAAGUCGAACGAAAAGGCCCUGCUUUUGUGGGGUGCUCGAGUGGCGAACGGGUGAGUAACACGUGAGUAACCUGCCCUUGACUUUGGGAUAACUUCAGGAAACUGGGGCUAAUACCGGAUAGGAGCUCCUGCUGCAUGGUGGGGGUUGGAAAGUUUCGGCGGUUGGGGAUGGACUCGCGGCUUAUCAGCUUGUUGGUGGGGUAGUGGCUUACCAAGGCUUUGACGGGUAGCCGGCCUGAGAGGGUGACCGGACACAUUGGGACUGAGAUACGGCCCAGACUCCUACGGGAGGCAGCAGUGGGGAAUAUUGCACAAUGGGCGGAAGCCUGAUGCAGCAACGCCGCGUGCGGGAUGACGGCCUUCGGGUUGUAAACCGCUUUCGCCUGUGACGAAGCGUGAGUGACGGUAAUGGGUAAAGAAGCACCGGCUAACUACGUG